AUCUAACUGACGAGUUCCGAAAUAGCACAAAACGCGCGUCCUGGAU
This 46-nucleotide non-coding RNA is filed under the name Schistosoma curassoni. The record is from RNAcentral. Lineage: Eukaryota; Metazoa; Platyhelminthes; Trematoda; Strigeidida; Schistosomatidae.